UACAGAGGUCUCAAGCGUUGUUCGGAAUUAUUGGGCGUAAAGGGCGCGUAGGCGGUGCGGUAAGUCACCUGUGAAAUCUCCGGGCUCAACUCGGAGCCUGCAGGCGAAACUGCCGUGCUCGAGUGUGGGAGAGGUGCGUGGAAUUCCCGGUGUAGCGGUGAAAUGCGUAGAUAUCGAGAGGAACACCUGUGGCGAAAGCGGCGCACUGGACCACAACUGACGCUGAGGCGCGAAAGCUAGGGGAGCAAACAGG
Molecule: ribosomal RNA, 253 nt
Filed under: uncultured bacterium
Lineage: Bacteria
Description: partial 16S ribosomal RNA
Rfam family: Bacterial small subunit ribosomal RNA
Source: RNAcentral